Molecule: ribosomal RNA, 253 nt
Filed under: uncultured bacterium
Lineage: Bacteria
Description: partial 16S ribosomal RNA
Rfam family: Bacterial small subunit ribosomal RNA
Source: RNAcentral
UACGUAGGGGGCGAGCGUUAUCCGGAUUUACUGGGCGUAAAGCGCGUUAAGGCGGUUGGCAAAGUUGGUUGUGAAAUCUCAGGGCUCAACCCUGAAAUUGCGACCAAUACUGGUCGACUAGAGUGUGAGAGAGGAAGGUGGAAUUCCCGGUGUAGUAGUGAAAUGCGUAGAUAUCGGGAGGAACACCAGUGGCGAAGGCGGCCUUCUGGCUCAUAACUGACGCUGUAGCGCGAAAGCGUGGGGAGCGAACCGG